RNAcentral lists this ribosomal RNA (497 nucleotides) under uncultured bacterium. RNAcentral's name for it is "partial 16S ribosomal RNA". It matches the Rfam family "Bacterial small subunit ribosomal RNA", at positions 28 to 507 of the family's 1533-position model. The record is from RNAcentral.
GAUGAACGCUGGCGGCGUGCCUAAUACAUGCAAGUCGAACGAACAGACGAGGUCCUUUCUCCUCUGAGUUUAUCGGCGGACGGGUGAUUAACACGUGGAUAACCUACCUAUCAGACUGGGAUGAUUUCCACAAACCAGGGCUACUACCGGAUAAUAUAUUGAAUCUGAUGGUUCAAUAGUUAAAGAAGGUUUUUGUUUCACUUAUAGAUGGAUCCGCGUCCCAUUAGCUAGUUGGUAAGGUGACGGCUUACCAAGGCAACGAUGAGUAGCCGGCCUGAGAGGGAGAUGGGCCACACGGGAACUGAGACACGGCCCAGACUCCUACGGGAGGAAGCAGCAGGGAAUCCUACGCAAUGGAGGAAAGCCUGAUGGAGCAACGCCGCGUGAGGGAUGAAGGUGUUCGGCGGGUAAAACUCUGUUAUCCGGAAAGAACAAAUGCGUAAGUACCUAUGAACGUCUUGACGGUACCUAGUCAGAAAGCCACGGCUAACUCCGUG